CACGUAGGGUGCGAGCGUUGUCCGGAAUUAUUGGGCGUAAAGAGCUCGUAGGCGGUGUGUCGCGUCGGCCGUGAAAACCUGCAGCUUAACUGUGGGCGUGCGGUCGAUACGGGCAUCACUGGAGUUCGGCAGGGGAGACUGGAAUUCCUGGUGUAGCGGUGAAAUGCGCAGAUAUCAGGAAGAACACCCGUGGCUAAGGCGGUUCUCUAGUACGGUACUGACGCUGAGACGCGAAAGCGUGGGGAGCGAACAGG
Molecule: ribosomal RNA, 254 nt
Filed under: uncultured bacterium
Lineage: Bacteria
Description: partial 16S ribosomal RNA
Rfam family: Bacterial small subunit ribosomal RNA
Source: RNAcentral